This 602-nucleotide long non-coding RNA is filed under the name Cyanistes caeruleus (blue tit). RNAcentral's name for it is "lncRNA (ENSCCEG00000012201.1)". Lineage: Eukaryota; Metazoa; Chordata; Aves; Passeriformes; Paridae. The record is from RNAcentral.
UAAUAAUAAUAAAAAAAGAACAUUUUAAAAGAAUUUUGGGCUAAAUACCAAAUUCUCAAAUCUACAAGGUAAACUCCCUCUUCUAGAGCUUUUGGGUGCAUUUACACAGUCUCAUUAAAACAAAUGCUGUCUGCGUGUGCAGCUGUAAGAUCUUCCAUUAGCCAGAUUUGAUGUUCUGAGGAGGAGCUGCAAAGAUUAAUUUCUUUUCAUCUCUUUCUUCUCACAAACAGAUCCGCUUUUUAUUAUUUACCCAUCACAGUCUUGACGUUAUUUGAUAAUGCAGCUGCUGAUGUUUGCUCCAUGAAACCAAUUGUCUUGUGAAGGUCUGCUCUGGCCAACACAGCAAGAAAGGAAAUUUCCUGUGGAGUGGCUUUUAUUGUGAAGCAUGGCAGGAAUGACUUCUCUGACCCAACAUGUGAAGUGGCCUCCCAAACAAAUACAAUUUUGAUAAUUUGCUUAUUUAUAGCAUGCUGCACUUUCUAGUCUUACUCAUGAUCAGGGUGCCAAUUUGCAAACACACAAAGACUUUUUGUUGAAGUGGGUAGAGCAGGCAAAGAGAUAAGUAAGGAAACAGGAAAAUAAAAUGUCUUUUUUUUUCUCCA